GGGUUGUGAGGUUAAGCGACUAAGCGUACACGGUGGAUGCCCUGGCAGUCAGAGGCGAUGAAGGACGUGCUAAUCUGCGAUAAGCGUCGGUAAGGUGAUAUGAACCGUUAUAACCGGCGAUUUCCGAAUGGGGAAACCCAGUGUGUUUCGACACACUAUCAUUAACUGAAUCCAUAGGUUAAUGAGGCGAACCGGGGGAACUGAAACAUCUAAGUACCCCGAGGAAAAGAAAUCAACCGAGAUUCCCCCAGUAGCGGCGAGCGAACGGGGAGGAGCCCAGAGUCUGAAUCAGUGUGUGUGUUAGUGGAAGCGUCUGGAAAGGCGCGCGAUACAGGGUGACAGCCCCGUACACAAAAAUGCACAUACUGUGAGCUCGAUGAGUAGGGCGGGACACGUGGUAUCCUGUCUGAAUAUGGGGGGACCAUCCUCCAAGGCUAAAUACUCCUGACUGACCGAUAGUGAACCAGUACCGUGAGGGAAAGGCGAAAAGAACCCCGGCGAGGGGAGUGAAAAAGAACCUGAAACCGUGUACGUACAAGCAGUGGGAGCCUCUUUUAUGGGGUGACUGCGUACCUUUUGUAUAAUGGGUCAGCGACUUAUAUUCUGUAGCAAGGUUAACCGAAUAGGGGAGCCGAAGGGAAACCGAGUCUUAACUGGGCGUUAAGUUGCAGGGUAUAGACCCGAAACCCGGUGAUCUAGCCAUGGGCAGGUUGAAGGUUGGGUAACACUAACUGGAGGACCGAACCGACUAAUGUUGAAAAAUUAGCGGAUGACUUGUGGCUGGGGGUGAAAGGCCAAUCAAACCGGGAGAUAGCUGGUUCUCCCCGAAAGCUAUUUAGGUAGCGCCUCGUGAAUUCAUCUCCGGGGGUAGAGCACUGUUUCGGCAAGGGGGUCAUCCCGACUUACCAACCCGAUGCAAACUGCGAAUACCGGAGAAUGUUAUCACGGGAGACACACGGCGGGUGCUAACGUCCGUCGUGAAGAGGGAAACAACCCAGACCGCCAGCUAAGGUCCCAAAGUCAUGGUUAAGUGGGAAACGAUGUGGGAAGGCCCAGACAGCCAGGAUGUUGGCUUAGAAGCAGCCAUCAUUUAAAGAAAGCGUAAUAGCUCACUGGUCGAGUCGGCCUGCGCGGAAGAUGUAACGGGGCUAAACCAUGCACCGAAGCUGCGGCAGCGACGCUUAUGCGUUGUUGGGUAGGGGAGCGUUCUGUAAGCCUGCGAAGGUGUGCUGUGAGGCAUGCUGGAGGUAUCAGAAGUGCGAAUGCUGACAUAAGUAACGAUAAAGCGGGUGAAAAGCCCGCUCGCCGGAAGACCAAGGGUUCCUGUCCAACGUUAAUCGGGGCAGGGUGAGUCGACCCCUAAGGCGAGGCCGAAAGGCGUAGUCGAUGGGAAACAGGUUAAUAUUCCUGUACUUGGUGUUACUGCGAAGGGGGGACGGAGAAGGCUAUGUUGGCCGGGCGACGGUUGUCCCGGUUUAAGCGUGUAGGCUGGUUUUCCAGGCAAAUCCGGAAAAUCAAGGCUGAGGCGUGAUGACGAGGCACUACGGUGCUGAAGCAACAAAUGCCAUGCUUCCAGGAAAAGCCUCUAAGCAUCAGGUAACAUCAAAUCGUACCCCAAACCGACACAGGUGGUCAGGUAGAGAAUACCAAGGCGCUUGAGAGAACUCGGGUGAAGGAACUAGGCAAAAUGGUGCCGUAACUUCGGGAGAAGGCACGCUGAUAUGUAGGUGAAGCGACUUGCUCGUGGAGCUGAAAUCAGUCGAAGAUACCAGCUGGCUGCAACUGUUUAUUAAAAACACAGCACUGUGCAAACACGAAAGUGGACGUAUACGGUGUGACGCCUGCCCGGUGCCGGAAGGUUAAUUGAUGGGGUCAGCGCAAGCGAAGCUCUUGAUCGAAGCCCCGGUAAACGGCGGCCGUAACUAUAACGGUCCUAAGGUAGCGAAAUUCCUUGUCGGGUAAGUUCCGACCUGCACGAAUGGCGUAAUGAUGGCCAGGCUGUCUCCACCCGAGACUCAGUGAAAUUGAACUCGCUGUGAAGAUGCAGUGUACCCGCGGCAAGACGGAAAGACCCCGUGAACCUUUACUAUAGCUUGACACUGAACAUUGAGCCUUGAUGUGUAGGAUAGGUGGGAGGCUUAGAAGUGUGGACGCCAGUCUGCAUGGAGCCGACCUUGAAAUACCACCCUUUAAUGUUUGAUGUUCUAACGUUGACCCGUAAUCCGGGUUGCGGACAGUGUCUGGUGGGUAGUUUGACUGGGGCGGUCUCCUCCUAAAGAGUAACGGAGGAGCACGAAGGUUGGCUAAUCCUGGUCGGACAUCAGGAGGUUAGUGCAAUGGCAUAAGCCAGCUUGACUGCGAGCGUGACGGCGCGAGCAGGUGCGAAAGCAGGUCAUAGUGAUCCGGUGGUUCUGAAUGGAAGGGCCAUCGCUCAACGGAUAAAAGGUACUCCGGGGAUAACAGGCUGAUACCGCCCAAGAGUUCAUAUCGACGGCGGUGUUUGGCACCUCGAUGUCGGCUCAUCACAUCCUGGGGCUGAAGUAGGUCCCAAGGGUAUGGCUGUUCGCCAUUUAAAGUGGUACGCGAGCUGGGUUUAGAACGUCGUGAGACAGUUCGGUCCCUAUCUGCCGUGGGCGCUGGAGAACUGAGGGGGGCUGCUCCUAGUACGAGAGGACCGGAGUGGACGCAUCACUGGUGUUCGGGUUGUCAUGCCAAUGGCACUGCCCGGUAGCUAAAUGCGGAAGAGAUAAGUGCUGAAAGCAUCUAAGCACGAAACUUGCCCCGAGAUGAGUUCUCCCUGACCCUUUAAGGGUCCUGAAGGAACGUUGAAGACGACGACGUUGAUAGGCCGGGUGUGUAAGCGCAGCGAUGCGUUGAGCUAACCGGUACUAAUGAACCGUGAGG
RNAcentral lists this ribosomal RNA (2904 nucleotides) under Escherichia coli. RNAcentral describes it as "bacterial LSU rRNA". It matches the Rfam family "Bacterial large subunit ribosomal RNA". Lineage: Bacteria; Pseudomonadati; Pseudomonadota; Gammaproteobacteria; Enterobacterales; Enterobacteriaceae. The record is from RNAcentral.